Molecule: ribosomal RNA, 163 nt
Filed under: uncultured bacterium
Lineage: Bacteria
Description: partial 16S ribosomal RNA
Rfam family: Bacterial small subunit ribosomal RNA
Source: RNAcentral
UCGCUAGUAAUCGCGCAUCAGCCACGGCGCGGUGAAUACCGGUUCCCGGGCCUUGUACACACCGCCCGUCAAGCCAUGGAAGCCGGGAGUGCCUGAAGUGCGUGAGCGCAAGCAGCGCCCUAAGGUAAAACCGGUGACUGGGGCUAAGUCGUAACAAGGUAGC